Long non-coding RNA from Homarus americanus (American lobster), 365 nucleotides. RefSeq lists it as uncharacterized. The record is from RefSeq and is a predicted model, not a curated record. The transcript has 3 exons. NCBI's taxonomy places the organism in Eukaryota, Metazoa, Arthropoda, Malacostraca, Decapoda, Nephropidae.
UUGUCACGUUCUCGUGACUAAGCUGCCCUCAGGCUGGUGGUAUUUAGCUUUGUCACAUUCUUGUGACUAAACUGACCUCAGGCUGGUGGUAUUUAACUUUAAUUUUGUCACGUUCUCGUGACUAUGCUGCCCUCAGGCUGGUGGUAUUUAACUUUGUCACAUUCUUGUGACUAAGCUGCCCUCAGGCUUGUGGUACUUAUCAGUUCCUUAGGACAUCUCGGUCCUUUGACGUUCGGACAUCACCAUCUUCAUGUGUGGAUACCCAAUUCAUUCUCCUGGCAGACUCCAUCAACCCUUUCCAUUGCUACCUCCAACAAGCAUAAUUUUGUCACAGGUCGCAACAUUGUGGACGUCGUCGUCUUAAC